CAGAGUAGCAGAAUUGCGUUAAGUGCCAUAUCACGGGAUGUUGGGUAUGGACGAACACUUUAAGUGGCGGUGGUUCUGCGCGUCCGCUGU
This 90-nucleotide non-coding RNA is filed under the name uncultured Anaeroplasma sp. RNAcentral's name for it is "THF riboswitch". It matches the Rfam family "THF (Tetrahydrofolate) riboswitch aptamer". From Rfam's summary of the family: THF riboswitch presents a pseudoknot that joins P1-P2 and the loop of P3 and two THF binding. Lineage: Bacteria; Bacillati; Mycoplasmatota; Mollicutes; Anaeroplasmatales; Anaeroplasmataceae. The record is from RNAcentral.